GAGUGAAAUAGAACCUGAAACCGUGUGCUUACAAGUAGUCAGAGCCCGUUAAUGGGUGAUGGCGUGCCUUUUGUAGAAUGAACCGGCGAGUUACGAUUUGAUGCAAGGUUAAGCAGUAAAUGUGGAGCCGUAGCGAAAGCGAGUCUGAAUAGGGCGUUUAGUAUUUGGUCGUAGACCCGAAACCAGGUGAUCUACCCUUGGUCAGGUUGAAGUUCAGGUAACACUGAAUGGAGGACCGAACCGACUUACGUUGAAAAGUGAGCGGAUGAACUGAGGGUAGCGGAGAAAUUCCAAUCGAACCUGGAGAUAGCUGGUUCUCUCCGAAAUAGCUUUAGGGCUAGCCUCAAGUGAUGAUUAUUGGAGGUAGAGCACUGUUUGGACGAGGGGCCCCUCUCGGGUUACCGAAUUCAGACAAACUCCGAAUGCCAAUUAAUUUAACUUGGGAGUCAGAACAUGGGUGAUAAGGUCCGUGUUCGAAAGGGAAACAGCCCAGACCACCAGCUAAGGUCCCAAAAUAUAUGUUAAGUGGAAAAGGAUGUGGCGUUGCCCAGACAACUAGGAUGUUGGCUUAGAAGCAGCCAUCAUUUAAAGAGUGCGUAAUAGCUCACUAGUCGAGUGACACUGCGCCGAAAAUGUACCGGGGCUAAACAUAUUACCGAAGCUGUGGAUUGUCCUUUGGACAAUGGUAGGAGAGCGUUCUAAGGGCGUUGAAGCAUGAUCGUAAGGACAUGUGGAGCGCUUAGAAGUGAGAAUGCCGGUGUGAGUAGCGAAAGACGGGUGAGAAUCCCGUCCACCGAUUGACUAAGGUUUCCAGAGGAAGGCUCGUCCGCUCUGGGUUAGUCGGGUCCUAAGCUGAGGCCGACAGGCGUAGGCGAUGGAUAACAGGUUGAUAUUCCUGUACCACCUAUAAUCGUUUUAAUCGAUGGGGGGACGCAGUAGGAUAGGCGAAGCGUGCGAUUGGAUUGCACGUCUAAGCAGUAAGGCUGAGUAUUAGGCAAAUCCGGUACUCGUUAAGGCUGAGCUGUGAUGGGGAGAAGACAUUGUGUCUUCGAGUCGUUGAUUUCACACUGCCGAGAAAAGCCUCUAGAUAGAAAAUAGGUGCCCGUACCGCAAACCGACACAGGUAGUCAAGAUGAGAAUUCUAAGGUGAGCGAGCGAACUCUCGUUAAGGAACUCGGCAAAAUGACCCCGUAACUUCGGGAGAAGGGGUGCUCUUUAGGGUUAACGCCCAGAAGAGCCGCAGUGAAUAGGCCCAAGCGACUGUUUAUCAAAAACACAGGUCUCUGCUAAACCGUAAGGUGAUGUAUAGGGGCUGACGCCUGCCCGGUGCUGGAAGGUUAAGAGGAGUGGUUAGCUUCUGCGAAGCUACGAAUCGAAGCCCCAGUAAACGGCGGCCGUAACUAUAACGGUCCUAAGGUAGCGAAAUUCCUUGUCGGGUAAGUUCCGACCCGCACGAAAGGCGUAACGAUUUGGGCACUGUCUCAACGAGAGACUCGGUGAAAUCAUAGUA
Molecule: ribosomal RNA, 1510 nt
Filed under: Staphylococcus aureus M0057
Lineage: Bacteria; Bacillati; Bacillota; Bacilli; Caryophanales; Staphylococcaceae
Description: bacterial LSU rRNA
Rfam family: Bacterial large subunit ribosomal RNA
Source: RNAcentral